AGCGAACGCUGGCGGCAGGCUUAACACAUGCAAGUCGAGCGGGCAUCCUUGUGGUGUCAGCGGCAGACGGGUGAGUAACGCGUGGGAACGUGCCCUUCGGUUCGGAAUAACUCAGGGAAACUUGAGCUAAUACCGGAUACGUGCGAGAGCAGAAAGGUUUAUCUGCCGAAGGAUCGGCCCGCGUCUGAUUAGCUAGUUGGUGAGGUUGCGGCUCACCAAGGCGACGAUCAGUAGCUGGUCUGAGAGGAUGAUCAGCCACACUGGGACUGAGACACGGCCCAGACUCCUACGGGAGGCAGCAGUGGGGAAUAUUGGACAAUGGGGGCAACCCUGAUCCAGCCAUGCCGCGUGAGUGAUGACGGCCUUAGGGUUGUAAAGCUCUUUUCUCCGGGACGAUAAUGACGGUACCGGAGGAAUAAGCCCCGGCUAACUUCGUG
This 437-nucleotide ribosomal RNA is filed under the name uncultured bacterium. Its description in RNAcentral is "partial 16S ribosomal RNA". It matches the Rfam family "Bacterial small subunit ribosomal RNA", at positions 29 to 507 of the family's 1533-position model. The record is from RNAcentral.